Molecule: ribosomal RNA, 443 nt
Filed under: uncultured bacterium
Lineage: Bacteria
Description: partial 16S ribosomal RNA
Rfam family: Bacterial small subunit ribosomal RNA
Source: RNAcentral
CCUACGGGAGGCAGCAGUGGGGAAUAUUGGGCAAUGGAGGCAACUCUGACCCAGCAACGCCGCGUGAAUGAUGAAGGUCUUCUGAUUGUAAAGUUCUGUGAUUGGGGAUGAACACCAUGACGGUACCCCACUAGCAAGCCACGGCUAACUACGUGCCAGCAGCCGCGGGUAUACGUAGGUGGCAAGCGUUACCCGGAAUGACUGGGCGGAAAGGGUGCGUAGGGGGUUUUGUAAGUUUGGGGUGUAAUUCCGGGGCUCAACCUCGGCGCUACCGCCAAAACUAUUAGACUAGAGUGCCGGAGAGGUAAGUGGAAUUCCUAGUGUAGCGGUGGAAUGCGUAGAUAUUAGGAGGAACAUCAGGGGCGAAGGCGACUUACUGGACUGUAACUGACACUGAGGCACGAAAGCGUGGGGAGCAAACAGGAUUAGAUACCCGGGUAGUC